GUGGGGAAUCUUAGACAAUGGGGGAAACCCUGAUCUAGCCAUGCCGCGUGAGCGAUGAAGGCCUUAGGGUUGUAAAGCUCUUUCAGCUGGGAAGAUAAUGACGGUACCAGUAGAAGAAGCCCCGGCUAACUCCGUGCCAGCAGCCGCGGUAAUACGGAGGGGGCUAGCGUUGUUCGGAAUUACUGGGCGUAAAGCGCGCGUAGGCGGACCAGAAAGUUGGAGGUGAAAUCCCAGGGCUCAACCUUGGAACUGCCUUCAAAACUCCUGGUCUGGAGUUCGAGAGAGGUGAGUGGAAUUCCGAGUGUAGAGGUGAAAUUCGUAGAUAUUCGGAGGAACACCAGUGGCGAAGGCGGCUCACUGGCUCGAUACUGACGCUGAGGUGCGAAAGCGUGGGGAGCAAACAGGAUUAGAAACCCUUGUAGUCC
This 425-nucleotide ribosomal RNA is filed under the name uncultured bacterium. RNAcentral describes it as "partial 16S ribosomal RNA". It matches the Rfam family "Bacterial small subunit ribosomal RNA", at positions 354 to 796 of the family's 1533-position model. The record is from RNAcentral.